GAUGAACGCUGGCGGCGUGCCUAAUACAUGCAAGUCGAGCGAACAGACGAGGAGCUUGCUCCUCUGACGUUAGCGGCGGACGGGUGAGUAACACGUGGAUAACCUACCUAUAAGACUGGGAUAACUUCGGGAAACCGGAGCUAAUACCGGAUAAUAUAUUGAACCGCAUGGAUCAAUAGUGAAAGACGGUUUUGCUGUCACUUAUAGAUGGUUCCGCGCCGCAUUAGCUAGUUGGUAAGGGAACGGCUUACCAAGGCAACGAUGCGUAGCCGACCUGAGAGGGUGAUCGGCCACACUGGAACUGAGCCACGGUCCAAACUCCUCCGGGAGGCAGCAGUAGGGAAUCUUCGUCAAUGGGCGAAAGCUUGACGGAGCAACGCCGCGUGAGUGAUGAAGGUCUUCGGAUCGUAAAACUCUGUUAUUAGGGAAGAACAAAUGUGUAAGUAACUAUGCACGUCUUGACGGUACCUAAUCAGAAAGCCACGGCUAACUACGUG
This 497-nucleotide ribosomal RNA is filed under the name uncultured bacterium. Its description in RNAcentral is "partial 16S ribosomal RNA". It matches the Rfam family "Bacterial small subunit ribosomal RNA", at positions 28 to 507 of the family's 1533-position model. The record is from RNAcentral.